This 526-nucleotide ribosomal RNA is filed under the name uncultured Glomeromycotina. Its description in RNAcentral is "SSU rRNA". It matches the Rfam family "Eukaryotic small subunit ribosomal RNA", at positions 548 to 1080 of the family's 1831-position model. The record is from RNAcentral. Lineage: Eukaryota; Fungi; Glomeromycota.
UUGGAGGGCAAGUCUGGUGCCAGCAGCCGCGGUAAUUCCAGCUCCAAUAGCGUAUAUUAAAGUUGUUGCAGUUAAAAAGCUCGUAGUUGAAUUUCGGGAUCAAUUUAUUGGUCGUGCUAGUGUACGUACUGGUAUUAUUGAUUCCUACCUUCUGACGAACCAUGAUGUCAUUAAUUUGGUGUCAUGGGGAAUCAGGACUGUUACUUUGAAAAAAUUAGAGUGUUUAAAGCAGGCUCACGCUUGAAUACAUUAGCAUGGAAUAAUGAAAUAGGACGUUUGAUUCUAUUUUGUUGGUUUUUAGGAUCAACGUAAUGAUUAAUAGGGAUAGUUGGGGCAUUAGUAUUCAAUUGUCAGAGGUGAAAUUCUUGGAUUUAUUGAAGACUAACUACUGCGAAAGCAUUUGCCAAGGAUGUUUUCAUUAAUCAAGAACGAAAGUUAGGGGAUCGAAGACGAUCAGAUACCGUCGUAGUCUUAACCAUAAACUAUGCCGACUAGGAAUCGGAUGAUGUUUAAUUUUUAAUGUACU